UUUCCCAAAAGCGGCGCACGAAGCUCUAAAUAUGCCAUCAACAUGAAUUGACAGUUUUUUGUCAUGCUGUUAAUAUUAGUGCAAUUCAGGCAAUUUUUCGUCUCAUGUAAUAGUAUGUGUGCACUAUUGACGUUUGUUUGUUGAUUUUGAAACCAGUUGAUAAUUUGCAAGUGAUGUGGAUGCUGAAAUUUUUAUUUCACUUCUUCAACAACUACCAGUGCUGUGGAACUAAUUCUGUGAUGCAAAUUUCUGCUCAAAGAGAAGCAAUGGUCACAGGUGCACGAUGUCAUCAUUGAGCAUAUUGCCACGGACUGUGUUAUUAACGGCAACAUUCCUUAUUUGAAAUUAUUACUGAACGAGAUCGGGGAGGUCAAACAAAUCUCUUUGGGUAUUCCAGUUUGACCUGACCCGGGACACGAUCGACGACGAGACCGAGGCACUCAAGCCCAAACUGUCCUAUAUGUGCUCUGUGGUCAAAAUGUUCCCAUGCCCGACGGCAAAGCAUCGGUUCUGUCAGAACGAAAUUCCAGCUUAUCUGAUUCGGUCAUUCUUUGCUCCGGAUCCGCGUAUUUAUAGCUGUGAUGCGAAUUGGGCUCGAGAAGCUGCCAUUGCCCCAGGAUUACGUGCUCGAGGAAUUGCGGCAUAUGUUGAGCGCGUUCUUGGACGAGGAUCAGCGGAAGCAGCAAUGGAAUAGUGUUUGAACGAAUUAUGUUAUUUUAAUCGUAAAAUUUUUUUCUGUAAUAAUGAAAUAAAAAACACUCUAAAAUGAA
This is a long non-coding RNA of Toxorhynchites rutilus septentrionalis, 770 nucleotides long. RefSeq lists it as uncharacterized. The record is from RefSeq and is a predicted model, not a curated record. NCBI's taxonomy places the organism in Eukaryota, Metazoa, Arthropoda, Insecta, Diptera, Culicidae. The transcript is spliced from 2 exons.